UGUGUAGGCGGUUCUCUAAGUUUGGUGUGAAAUCUCCCGGCUCAACCGGGAGGGUGCGCCGAAAACUGGAGGGCUAGAGUGCGGGAAGGGAGAGUAGAAUUCCUGGUGUAGCGGUGAAAUGCGUAGAUAUCAGGAGGAAUACCGGUGGUGCAGACGGCUCUCUGGACCGCUACUGACGCUGAGACACGAAAGCGUGGGUAGCAAACAGGAUUAGAUACCCUGGUAGUCCACGCCCUAAACGAUGCAUAUUUGGUGUAGGUCAUUCAGUUGAUCUGUGCCGGAGCUAACGCGUUAAAUAUGCCGCCUGGGGAGUACAGUCGCAAGGCUGAA
Molecule: ribosomal RNA, 330 nt
Filed under: uncultured bacterium
Lineage: Bacteria
Description: bacterial SSU rRNA
Rfam family: Bacterial small subunit ribosomal RNA
Source: RNAcentral